CGCUAUGGGUUCCACUAUGGGUCACUGAGUCCCGCUAUGGGUCGCUAUGGGUCCCACUAUGGGUCGCUAUGGGUUCCGCUAUGGGUCCCGCUAUGGGUCCUGCUAUGGGUCCCGCUAUGGGUCCUGCUACGUGUCCUGCUAUGGGUCGCUAUGGGUCCUGCUAUGGGUCCCGCUAUGGGUUCCACUAUGGGUCACUGAGUCCCGCUAUGGGUCGCUAUGGGUCCCACUAUGGGUCGCUAUGGGUCUCUAUGGGUCCCGCUAUGGGUCCCGCUAUGGGUCGCUAUGGGUCUCUAUGGGUCCCGCUAUGGGUCCCGCUAUGGGUCGCUAUGCGUCUCUAUGGGUCCCGCUAUGGGUCCUGCUAUGUGUCCCGCUAUGGGUCGCUAUGGGUCCCGCUAUGGGUUCCACUAUGGGUCACUGAGUCCCACUAUGGGUCGCUAUGGGUCCCGUUAUGGGUCCCGCUAUGGGUCGCUGUGGGCCCCGCCACCCCAUCCCGCUCCACUUCCUACAGGGAAACCCCGCCCCGCCCCCAUGCCGCAAGCCACGCCCCCUCUCCCAUAUAAGGGCAAGCACCCCUCCCUCGGCCCCGCCCACACGGCUCAAGCACCGCCCCCUUCUCAAACCCCGCCCCCUUUUCAGACCACGCCCCCUCGGGGGCCGCGCCGCGUUUUUAUUGGCUCAGAGCAUCCCGCGCACGCGCGCCAGCGCCUCCUCCACCUUCCGCAGCUCCGCCUCCGCCUGCG
This 740-nucleotide long non-coding RNA is filed under the name Numida meleagris (helmeted guineafowl). RNAcentral's name for it is "lncRNA (ENSNMEG00000000437.1)". Lineage: Eukaryota; Metazoa; Chordata; Aves; Galliformes; Numididae. The record is from RNAcentral.